This 460-nucleotide ribosomal RNA is filed under the name uncultured bacterium. Its description in RNAcentral is "partial 16S ribosomal RNA". It matches the Rfam family "Bacterial small subunit ribosomal RNA", at positions 338 to 795 of the family's 1533-position model. The record is from RNAcentral.
CCUACGGGAGGCAGCAGUGAGGAAUAUUGGUCAAUGGCCGGAAGGCUGAACCAGCCAUGCCGCGUGAAGGUCAGUGCCCUAUGGGCGUUAAACUUCUUUUGUGCGGGAGCAAUAAUGGUCACGUGUGGCCCGACGAGAGUACCGUACGAAUAAGCAUCGGCUAACUCCGUGCCAGCAGCCGCGGUAAUACGGGGGAUGCAAGCGUUAUCCGGAGUGAUGUGGUUUAAAGGGUGCGUAGGCUGUGAGGUAAGUCAGCGGUGAAAUGCCCCCGCUCAACGGGGUGAAGUGCCAUUGAGACUGCCUUGCUGGAAUGCGGAUGCCGUGGGAGGAAUGUGUGGUGUAGCGGUGAAAUGCAUAGAUAUCACACAGCACACCGAUUGCGAAGGCAUCUCACGAAUCCGCGAUUGACGCUGAUGCACGAAAGCGUGGGUAUCAAACAGGAUUAGAUACCCCUGUAGUC